Molecule: ribosomal RNA, 502 nt
Filed under: Strongyloides fuelleborni
Lineage: Eukaryota; Metazoa; Nematoda; Chromadorea; Rhabditida; Strongyloididae
Description: SSU rRNA
Rfam family: Eukaryotic small subunit ribosomal RNA
Source: RNAcentral
UUAAUCAAGAACGAAAGUUAGAGGUUCGAAGGCGAUCAGAUACCGCCCUAGUUCUAACCGUAAACUAUGCCUACUAGGUGUAUGAAUUAUUAGUUAUAAUAAUUUAUGCACCUUCUCGGAAACGAAAGUCUUUCGGUUCCGGGGGAAGUAUGGUUGCAAAGCUGAAACUUAAAGGAAUUGACGGAAGGGCACCACCAGGAGUGGAGCCUGCGGCUUAAUUUGACUCAACACGGGAAAACUCACCCGGGCCGGACACUAUAAGGAUUGACAGAUUGAUAGCUCUUUCAUGAUUUAGUGGUUGGUGGUGCAUGGCCGUUCUUAGUUCGUGGAUAUGAUUUGUCUGGUUGAUUCCGAUAACGAGCGAGACUUUUAUGUUAUAUUAAAUAAUAUUAUUGAUAAAUUUUAUAGUUUUUAUAUAAUAUUUUAUUUUAANAACANAUUAAUANNGUUUUACUAUUUGAGAGAGAGCAAUAACACGGCUGUGAUGCCCUUAGAUGUCCGG